UUCAGAAACGGGCUUGACUUACCCUGCUUUCUCGGGUUUGACAUACCUCCCUUUCUGAAACAGAAAACCCAGAGUUUCCCUCAUUUCAGGGUUAACAUACUCAGAGUUUUCACUUAACCUUCUUUCUGAAACGGGCCCCUGGACUUCCCACCUCUGAAGAUCUGUCUAGAUCUCAGCAUCUUUACUAUUUCUUUCAUUCAAAACUUUUGGAUGUUGAUGUUUUAUUGAAGAUAGUAAAUUUUCAAGUCACCGUUAUGGAGGUGAGCGUUUGCUUUACUUGGGCUCCUGACCCUUAAUAUUUCAGCCUCAGUUGUUUUCUGGUCGUUAUGAUUUUUUUUUUUUGUGAAGCACAUUUGUUUUAGCAAGAGAAAUCCUAGUUAAAUGAAGUUGAUUGUUUAUUGAUGAAUCUAUCAUCAUGUUGUGGUCAGAAUCAAAGAUGUUUAUAUUUUGCAGAGUAUGAUUUAGGAUUUUUUUUUUUUCUUUUAUGAUCAUUAACUGUUAUUUUCAUUAAUGGUAAAUGUGUGGCACCUUGUGCUGCCCGACUUAUUGUUGUAGAUUACUAAUAAUCACGUUCAAUCUUCUUAGGCCGAACGUUUUUCUUUUUUUCUCUAUGUAAGAUACCUCCAGUAUGAAAUGAGAUAUUCCAGCAAAAGUGAUCUUACCUGCAUUCUGCCAGAAGAUGGAGCUCUAGGAACCAUUCUAGUUCAGUCUCAGUUCAGUUGUUUAAAACAGAGACAGACUUACAUUGAGUCACUUAUACUCUAGUAGAGAACUGAGUCUUGAGUCUCAAAGUCAUUGACUCUUACUAGUGCAGAUGUUGCUCCUGUUAUUCAUUUUAUUUUCUCUGCUAAAAGAGAAUGCUGCUGCAGACGUGAUAACACCAUUACUCACAGACAAGCAUGUUUUGGAAGGACAAACUGUUACACUGAUCUGCAAAUACACUGGCAAUGUUCAAAAUUUGCAGUGGUACCGUCAGUAUCCCGGAUCCAAACCUGAACACCUAAUAUCGUUCUUUGAGACCAAACCAGAGUCUUCUCUCCGUCUGACCGCUGAAGCUGAUAAAGCCAACAAGCAAAUGAAUCUGACGAUCUCUUCUACAGAAGUGAAAGACUCUGCCAUGUACUACUGUGCCCUGCAGCCCACAGUGACAGGAAACACUACUGCACCCUACAAAAACUCAAUGAGAAAUUAUAUUCAAGGCAGAGGAUCAUGAUGCACAUUUUAAAAACUUAACAUAAAGCAAGUUAUCAGCUCUAAAGUAAAACAUAAUAGAACAGAAAACUCUAAUUACACCAUUUCAGUGUGUUUAAACCCUGACUAAAUACUUAAAUACUACUUACUUAUACCGGAAGGCAGUAUUCUCAGCAGAUGCAAGCUAUAUCAAGAUUCCAAGGAUGAUUCUCAGCAUACAGUAUACUGGAAAUUAAAUUGCAUACCUGAUACACGUAUGCUGACUUUUAAACAAUGAAGCUCUGUACCAAACUUUGAACAGGAGAAAAACAUGAAGAGCUUUUGAAGUAUGCUGUAAAAGUAAUAUAUGAGAAUAAGUAGGCGGAGCUAGCCGAGGGGAAAGUCACUGCAAAACAGAAGAGCAGACGGAACAAUGCCUCCAGAGACAGGAGAGAGCUAUCAAUGCUCU
Megalobrama amblycephala (Wuchang bream) is the source of this 1639-nucleotide non-coding RNA. The record is from the annotation of a RefSeq genome assembly. Lineage: Eukaryota; Metazoa; Chordata; Actinopteri; Cypriniformes; Xenocyprididae.